RNAcentral lists this ribosomal RNA (301 nucleotides) under uncultured bacterium. Its description in RNAcentral is "partial 16S ribosomal RNA". It matches the Rfam family "Bacterial small subunit ribosomal RNA", at positions 509 to 807 of the family's 1533-position model. The record is from RNAcentral.
CAGUAGCCGCGGGAAAACGUAGGUGGCAAGCGUUAUCCGGAAUUAUUGGGCGUAAAGCGCGCGUAGGCGGUUUUUUAAGUCUGAUGUGAAAGCCCACGGCUCAACCGUGGAGGGUCAUUGGAAACUGAAAAACUUGAGUGCAGAAGAGGAAAGUGGAAUUCCAUGUGUAGCGGUGAAAUGCGCAGAGAUAUGGAGGAACACCAGUGGCGAAGGCGACUUUCUGGUCUGUAACUGACGCUGAUGUGCGAAAGCGUGGGGAUCAAACAGGAUUAGAUACCCCAGUAGUCCCUGUCUCUUAUAC